This is a non-coding RNA of Podarcis lilfordi (Lilford's wall lizard), 68 nucleotides long. The record is from the annotation of a GenBank genome assembly. Lineage: Eukaryota; Metazoa; Chordata; Lepidosauria; Squamata; Lacertidae.
GAUAGCUCAGCUGAUAGAGCACAAGACUCUUAAUCUUGGGCCCAUGGGUUCGAGCCCCAUGUCAGGCA